RNAcentral lists this ribosomal RNA (497 nucleotides) under uncultured bacterium. RNAcentral describes it as "partial 16S ribosomal RNA". It matches the Rfam family "Bacterial small subunit ribosomal RNA", at positions 28 to 507 of the family's 1533-position model. The record is from RNAcentral.
GAUGAACGCUGGCGGCGUGCCUAAUACAUGCAAGUCGAGCGAACGGACGAGAAGCUUGCUUCUCUGAUGUUAGCGGCGGACGGGUGAGUAACACGUGGAUAACCUACCUAUAAGACUGGGAUAACUUCGGGAAACCGGAGCUAAUACUGGAUAAUAUUUUGAACCGCAUGGUUCAAAAGUGAAAGACAGUCUUGCUGUCACUUAUAGAUGGAUCCGCGCUGCAUUAGCUAGUUGGUAAGGUAACGGCUUACCAAGGCAACGAUGCAUAGCCGACCUGAGGGGGUGAUCGGCCACACUGGAACUGAGACACGGUCCAGACUCCUACGGGAGGCAGCAGUAGGGAAUCUUCCGCAAUGGGCGAAAGCCUGACGGAGCAACGCCGCGUGAGUGAUGAAGGUCUUCGGAUCGUAAAACUCUGUUAUUAGGGAAGAACAUAUGUGUAAGUAACUGUGCACAUCUUGACGGUACCUAAUCAGAAAGCCACGGCUAACUACGUG